GGCUCUGUAGCUCAGUUGGUUAGAGCAUCCGACUCAUAUUCGGAAGGUCGGUAGUUCGAAUCUACCCACUGCUACCA
This 77-nucleotide transfer RNA is filed under the name Alphaproteobacteria bacterium. RNAcentral's name for it is "tRNA-Met". It matches the Rfam family "tRNA". Rfam says of the family: Transfer RNA (tRNA) molecules are approximately 80 nucleotides in length. Their secondary structure includes four short double-helical elements and three loops (D, anti-codon, and T loops). Lineage: Bacteria; Pseudomonadati; Pseudomonadota; Alphaproteobacteria. The record is from RNAcentral.